Molecule: ribosomal RNA, 245 nt
Filed under: uncultured bacterium
Lineage: Bacteria
Description: partial 16S ribosomal RNA
Rfam family: Bacterial small subunit ribosomal RNA
Source: RNAcentral
UAGGGAGCGAGCGUUGUCCGGAAUUACUGGGUGUAAAGGGAGCGUAGGCGGGAUCGCAAGUCAGAUGUGAAAUACAUAGGCUUAACCUAUGGGCUGCAUUUGAAACUGUGGUUCUUGAGUGAAGUAGAGGUAAGCGGAAUUCCUGGUGUAGCGGUGAAAUGCGUAGAUAUCAGGAGGAACACCGGUGGCGAAGGCGGCUUACUGGGCUUUAACUGACGCUGAGGCUCGAAAGCGUGGGUAGCAAA